AUGGACCAUAUGAAGUCUGGUUUCGAUCCGAAUAAUAUUUGGAGAAAGUUCCGAUAUGAAGCCGUCCCUUGUGAGCAACAGACUGGAAUCUUUGAUUGUGGUCUUUUCGUUCCUUUAUAUAUAAAGGCUAUAAUUCAUGGGGUAGAUACCACUCAAGUAACUAAUCACUCUGACGAGUCUGAAGUCAUCCGUGCCAGGCUUGCAGCUGAACUCCUAAUAGAAGGAUGGGAACAGAAAAAUCAAGGGGAGACAGUGGAAAAGGAUGGGUGAUUGAUAUCCUAAAAAGUGUUGUGUACGAACAGAUUGAAUUGGGAACAAAACUAACUGGCAUUUUAAUUUAGUUAACAUUAUUGCAGCUUUGUAUCAUUCUCUUUGACAGUUAUUCUACUGUUUGUGUAACUGGUUGAUAGUGUGGAUGAGAAGAUCCACAUAUCUGGUUGUGAAACUGGUUGCUAUUGUAAUCAUUGCUAAUAACAGGUUGAAGUGCAUCACAGUUCA
Long non-coding RNA from Asparagus officinalis (garden asparagus), 498 nucleotides. RefSeq lists it as uncharacterized. NCBI's taxonomy places the organism in Eukaryota, Viridiplantae, Streptophyta, Magnoliopsida, Asparagales, Asparagaceae. The record is from RefSeq and is a predicted model, not a curated record. The transcript is spliced from 2 exons.